GCCGGGCCUCGUGGUGCUUUGUUGCCGGAUUGCGGGCCACGUUAAAGAAGCCGCUAAAGAGGCGAGGGCGCACAGCCC
RNAcentral lists this non-coding RNA (78 nucleotides) under Cereibacter sphaeroides. The record is from RNAcentral. Lineage: Bacteria; Pseudomonadati; Pseudomonadota; Alphaproteobacteria; Rhodobacterales; Paracoccaceae. RNAcentral also lists the same sequence under 1 other name.